Molecule: long non-coding RNA, 522 nt
Organism: Mastomys coucha (southern multimammate mouse)
Lineage: Eukaryota; Metazoa; Chordata; Mammalia; Rodentia; Muridae
Exons: 2
Source: RefSeq, a predicted model, not a curated record
AAAGACUGUCUCGAAACCACUCAAGGUCAUAUGAUUCUAGAACGCAAGUGGCCGCUGUUAGCCCAUGCGGUUCCGUCUCAUCUUCAGCUCUCCUGAAGGUUGACAGCUCAGUCAUGAAAACUCAUAGCUCUGCUCCCGCUUUCAGGAGAAUUCUCGCAUCCAUCUAUUGUAUCCUCCCAUUCCAGAUGGGGCUCCUAACCCAUCUCAGACCCCGGCUGGGCACAGGAGCUAACAAGGCAGGCAACUUAAGUUCCUACUGCUCUGCUGCUGGGCUAUGCUGUGUGGAGAGGCUGAGGCGAGGCACGUGAGCUCAAGUGGAGCAUGUGCAGGGCCACCAUCAUUAUGGAAAUCCUGACUCUGAAGGCCAACGCUGCGUCUAAAUGAGUUGAAAUGAAAUUCAAAGAACACAUCCAUCACUCUGGUUCACCCUGGUUCAGCCUCACAUCUCAUUAUUGUGCUACUCUGCCUGUGUAUUAUGAAUUAAUAUAUUUAAUAAAUCCUGUAAUUAUCUUGUGAACAGCA